GACCAAUGCACCCCUGCAUUGCUAGAUCACUUUGGUUCAUCCCCUCCAGAAGAUAAAAGUAGUUUGUUGACCUGUGAAGUUCACGGGGGAAGAAAUACAAUGCUACGUCCUUGGUAUCAGGAGGAUUUGACUGAAAAACCCGAGGCCAAACAUCUAAGCGACUUAGAAGCUUAAACUUCAUUCUCUGAGGCAAUUGGCACAGCGUGGUGUAUGCCUUGGGG
Molecule: unclassified non-coding RNA, 221 nt
Filed under: Hevea brasiliensis (rubber tree)
Lineage: Eukaryota; Viridiplantae; Streptophyta; Magnoliopsida; Malpighiales; Euphorbiaceae
Source: RNAcentral